RNAcentral lists this ribosomal RNA (440 nucleotides) under uncultured Acidobacteriota bacterium. RNAcentral's name for it is "bacterial SSU rRNA". It matches the Rfam family "Bacterial small subunit ribosomal RNA", at positions 338 to 795 of the family's 1533-position model. The record is from RNAcentral. Lineage: Bacteria; Pseudomonadati; Acidobacteriota.
CCUACGGGGGGCUGCAGUGGGGAAUCUUGCACAAUGGGGGAAACCCUGAUGCAGCGACGCCGCGUGAAGGAUGAAGCCCUUCGGGGUGUAAAGUUCUUUCGACGGGGACGAUAAUGACGGUACCCGGAGAAGAAGCUGCGGCUAACUACGUGCCAGCAGCCGCGGUAAUACGUAGGCAGCAAGCGUUGUUCGGAAUUACUGGGCGUAAAGAGUGCGUAGGCGGUUAACUAAGUUUGGUGUGAAAUCUCCCGGCUUAACUGGGAGGGUGCGCCGAAAACUGGCUAGCUAGAGUGUGGGAGAGGAUAGUGGAAUUCCUGGUGUAGCGGUGAAAUGCGUAGAUAUCAGGAGGAACACCUGCGGUGUAGACGGCUAUCUGGACCAUGACUGACGCUGAGGCACGAAAGCGUGGGUAGCAAACAGGCUUAGAUACCCCAGUAGUC